AUAUUGAAUAUAUGAAAUUAUUUUUGACUUUUUGUGUAGAUUGCUAGGAUAAAGCGGUAUGGGGACAGGUUUUUUGUAGACGAGAAAAACAUGAGUCCAAGCCAAAGUUGGUGGUGAACCUGUAGAUGAGACUGUAUUGUCCGAGUGUAUUGUCCAGUGUCAUGCUUGUAUUUGUGGAAUGUUCCAGAGUACUAUGAUAUUAUCUGGAAUAAGAUAUUGGUUAUGCUGCAAGUUACGAGAAGCAGCAACAAAACCAGCAUCCUGCCAACAACAAUUCAAUCCCAGAUGUUGCGAGUCCUAAUCAAAGCACAGAUCCAAGUCUUGUAGGGGUCACACAUACUGUUUUUAUUUCGACGAUCAGACUGUAUUUGUGAUG
Long non-coding RNA from Papaver somniferum (opium poppy), 376 nucleotides. RefSeq lists it as uncharacterized. The record is from RefSeq and is a predicted model, not a curated record. Lineage: Eukaryota; Viridiplantae; Streptophyta; Magnoliopsida; Ranunculales; Papaveraceae. The transcript is spliced from 3 exons.